This 1458-nucleotide ribosomal RNA is filed under the name metagenome. RNAcentral describes it as "bacterial LSU rRNA". It matches the Rfam family "Bacterial large subunit ribosomal RNA", at positions 1443 to 2925 of the family's 2925-position model. The record is from RNAcentral.
CUGCGGUAUGACAGAACUGUGGGGACACGUAAGGAAAGCGGAAGCCGGGAAUGGAAAGCCCGGUGCAAGCGGGGUACCAGCCACUUUGGCAAAUCCGGGUGGCAAUGGGAAGCCGUGAUGCGGAGCGAAAAAAGUAGCGAAGUCCGUGAGCCAUGCGUCGAGAAAAGCCGCUAUUGUUUAUACCGUACCCGUACCGUAAACCGACACAGGUGGAUGAGGAGAGAAUCCUAAGGCCGGCGGAAGAAGCAUUGUCAAGGAACUCGGCAAAAUGGCCCCGUAACUUAGGGAUAAGGGGUGCCUGGGAAACCAGGCCGCAGAGAAUAGGCUCAAGCAACUGUUUAGCAAAAACACAGGUCUAUGCGAAACCGAAAGGUGAGGUAUAUGGGCUGACGCCUGCCCGGUGCUGGAAGGUUAAGAGGAGAGGUUAGCGGUAACGCGAAGCUUUGAAUUUAAGCCCCAGUAAACGGCGGCCGUAACAAUAACGGUCCUAAGGUAGCGAAAUUCCUUGUCGGGUAAGUUCCGACCCGCACGAAAGGCGUAAUGAUUUGAGCGCUGUCUCGACAAUGCAUCCGGUGAAAUUGAAGUACCAGUGAAGAUGCUGGUUACCUGCGCCAGGACGGAAAGACCCCAUGGAGCUUUACUCCAGUCUGGUACUGGGACUCGGUAUUGCAUGUACAGGAUAGGUGGGAGGCUAGGAGAUGGUAACGCCAGUUGCCAUGGAGCCGCUGUUGGGAUACCACCCUUGCAGUAUUGGGUUUCUAACCAGCCGCCGUGACCCGGCGGUGGGACAAUGCCAGACGGGGAGUUUGACUGGGGCGGUCGCCUCCGAAAGGGUAUCGGAGGCGCCCAAAGGUUCCCUCAGAAUGGACGGAAACCAUUCGAAGAGUGCAAAGGCAGAAGGGAGCUUGACUGCGACACCGACGGGUGGAGCAGGUACGAAAGUAGGGCUUAGUGAUCCGGUGGUAUUAAGUGGGAAUGCCAUCGCUCAACGGAUAAAAGCUACCCUGGGAUAACAGGCUUAUCACUCCCAAGAGUUCACAUCGACGGAGUGGUUUGGCACCUCGAUGUCGGCUCAUCGCAUCCUGGGGCUGUAGUAGGUCCCAAGGGUUGGGCUGUUCGCCCAUUAAAGCGGUACGCGAGCUGGGUUCAGAACGUCGUGAGACAGUUCGGUCCCUAUCCGGCGUGGGCGUAGGAUAUCUGAGAGGAGCUGUCCUUAGUACGAGAGGACCGGGAUGGACGGGCCGCUGGUGCAUCGGUUAGACUGCCAAGUCUACGGCCGAGUAGCCAAGCCCGGAAGGGAUAAACGCUGAAGGCAUCUAAGCGUGAAGCCCCCCUUAAGAUGAGAUAUCCCAUUCGUUAAGAAGUAAACCCCCUUGAAGACGACGAGGUAGAUAGGGCAGAGGUGGAAGUGCAGCAAUGCAUGGAGCUGACUGUUACUAAUCGGGUGAGGGCUUGACC